RNAcentral lists this ribosomal RNA (301 nucleotides) under uncultured bacterium. RNAcentral describes it as "partial 16S ribosomal RNA". It matches the Rfam family "Bacterial small subunit ribosomal RNA", at positions 509 to 807 of the family's 1533-position model. The record is from RNAcentral.
CAGUCGCCACGGUAAAACAGAGGGUGCAAGCGUUAAUCGGAAUUACUGGGCGUAAAGCGCGCGUAGGUGGUUUGUUAAGUUGGAUGUGAAAUCCCCGGGCUCAACCUGGGAACUGCAUCCAAAACUGGCAAGCUAGAGUAUGGUAGAGGGUGGUGGAAUUUCCUGUGUAGCGGUGAAAUGCGUAGAUAUAGGAAGGAACACCAGUGGCGAAGGCGACCACCUGGACUGAUACUGACACUGAGGUGCGAAAGCGUGGGGAGCAAACAGGAUUAGAUACCCCCGUAGUCCCUGUCUCUUAUAC